CAAUAGCGUAUAUUAAAGUUGUUGUAGUUAAAAAGCUCGUAGUUGGAUUUGUGGUGUACUUCGGCGGCCCGUCACUAUGUGAUGGAGCUUGCUGAAGUCGCCAUCCUUGGGUGGAUCCUGUGUGGCAUUAAGUUGUCGUGCAGGGGAUGCCCAUCGUUUACUGUGAAAAAAUUAGAGUGUUCAAAGCAGGCUUAUGCCGUUGAAUAUGUUAGCAUGGAAUAAUAAGAUAGGACCUUGGUACUAUUUUGUUGGCUUGCGCACCAAGGUAAUGAUUAAUAGGGACAGUUGGGGGUAUUCGUAUUUCAUUGUCAGAGGUGAAAUUCUUGGAUUUUUGAAAGACGAACUACUGCGAAAGCAUUUACCAAGGAUGUUUUCAUUAA
RNAcentral lists this ribosomal RNA (380 nucleotides) under uncultured eukaryote. RNAcentral's name for it is "partial 18S ribosomal RNA". It matches the Rfam family "Eukaryotic small subunit ribosomal RNA", at positions 592 to 976 of the family's 1831-position model. The record is from RNAcentral.